CACUGCUCUGACGGAUGCUUUUAUUAGACCAAGCCGCUGAGGACUUGAGGGUUCGCUCUCCUGUCUGACUCGUGUAAUGGUGACUCUGGAUAACCAAUUCUGACAAGCGCACGUACUUCUCUUCUGAGCGAGACGGCGCUGCCACUUUCGAGUGUCUGCCUUAUCAGCUAUCAACCGUUCGUUAUGCGCGACCGAUGGCUUUGACGGGUAACGGGGAAUCAGGGUUCGAUUCCGGAGAGGCAGCCUGAGAGACGGCUACCACGUCCAAGGACGGCAGCAGGCACGCAAAUUACCCAAUCCCAGCAAAUGGGGGAGGUAGUGACGAAAUCUAACGAUGCGGGCGCCCUUUCUGGGGCCCCGCAAUCGGAAUGGGCACUUUCUAAACAACCUGUUGAGAACCUACUGAAGGGCAAGUCUGGUGCCAGCAGCCGCGGUAAUUCCAGCUUCAGCAGCAUCUAUUAAAGUUGCUGCGGUUAAAAGGCUCGCAGUUGAAUGUCUGUAUCGAGCGCAGGUCAGGUGGACGUUGGGGCGUGGAAGUACGGGCAGUUGGAUGUCCGUGGGGCCUUCGUGCUCAACGGCUCCUUCGGCUUUUCCACACACCCCCGUCCGUGACAAGCCUCCUCGCUCGGGUACAUAACGGGAAUCGGUCAAACGGAGUGUGGUUGGAGGUUGGGGUGCGUGGCUUCGGUUGCGUGCUUCUUCUUUCGGCUGCGUUAAGCUCCAUCGGUUUCACGGUCACCUUGAGUAAAUCAGAGUGCUCAAAGCAGUCGUAGGGGCCUUGCGCCCUGUGAACAGUCUUGACGGACUGACUUGGUUUUGCAUGGCAUGUCGGAAGACGACGUCGUGUGCUGGCUCAGAGGAUAAAUCAGUGGUACAAGCCAGCCUCGACGUAAUGAUUAAAAGGGACGGUCGAGGGCAUUGGUAUUGCGAGGCGAGAGGUGAAAUUCUGUGACCCCCGCAAGACCUCCUGAAGCGAAAGCGUCUGCCAAGGACGUUUU
This 998-nucleotide ribosomal RNA is filed under the name Gammarus cf. balcanicus 1BG14. RNAcentral describes it as "partial 18S ribosomal RNA". It matches the Rfam family "Eukaryotic small subunit ribosomal RNA", at positions 187 to 970 of the family's 1831-position model. The record is from RNAcentral. Lineage: Eukaryota; Metazoa; Arthropoda; Malacostraca; Amphipoda; Gammaridae.